Molecule: long non-coding RNA, 198 nt
Organism: Pecten maximus
Lineage: Eukaryota; Metazoa; Mollusca; Bivalvia; Pectinida; Pectinidae
Exons: 5
Source: RefSeq, a predicted model, not a curated record
AUUGUUUCGCUGAACGUCUCCCGACAAAUAUGGCGGAGGCCUCUACGUGGAGUGAUGACGAUGAGGACUCUGAAGAAUUAAGCUUCAUUGAGAAUGCAAUAGAUAUGUUCGAAAGGCAUAAGCGAGAAUCCAAUAGGUAAGUGUUUCUUUGUUUUGAUUGGGAUUCUAGAUUAAUCCAUAUGUCACAAGACACAUUGG